Molecule: ribosomal RNA, 500 nt
Filed under: uncultured Glomeromycotina
Lineage: Eukaryota; Fungi; Glomeromycota
Description: partial small subunit ribosomal RNA
Rfam family: Eukaryotic small subunit ribosomal RNA
Source: RNAcentral
CCAAUAGCGUAUAUUAAAGUUGUUGCAGUUAAAAAGCUCGUAGUUGAAUUUCGGGAUCAAUGGGUUGGUCAUGCCCUCGGUAUGUACUGAUUUCAUUGGUUCUCACCUUCUAAGGAACCAUGAUGUCAUUCGUUUGAUGUUGUGGGGAAUUAGGACUGUUACCUUGAAAAAAUUAGAGUGUUUAAAGCAGGCUAACGCUUGAAUACAUUAGCAUGGAAUAAUGGAAUAGGACAUCCGAUUCUAUUUUGUUGGUUUCUAGGAUCGAUGUAAUGAUUAAUAGGGAUAGUUGGGGGCAUUAGUAUUCAAUUGUCAGAGGUGAAAUUCUUGGAUUUAUUGAAGACUAACUACUGCGAAAGCAUUUGCCAAGGAUGUUUUCAUUAAUCAAGAACGAAAGUUAGGGGAUCGAAGACGAUCAGAUACCGUCGUAGCCUUAACCAUAAACUAUGCCGACUAGGGAUCGGAUGAUGCUUAUUUUUUAAUGACUCAUUCGGCACCUUACG